Molecule: ribosomal RNA, 109 nt
Filed under: Pteropus alecto (black flying fox)
Lineage: Eukaryota; Metazoa; Chordata; Mammalia; Chiroptera; Pteropodidae
Source: RNAcentral
GUCUAUGGCCAUGCCACCCUGAACAUGCCCAAUCUUGGAAGCUAAGCAGGGCCGGGCCUGGUUAGUACUUGGAUGGGAGACCACAAAGGAAUAACAGGUGCUGUAGGCA